Long non-coding RNA from Peromyscus eremicus (cactus mouse), 366 nucleotides. RefSeq lists it as uncharacterized. The record is from RefSeq and is a predicted model, not a curated record. NCBI's taxonomy places the organism in Eukaryota, Metazoa, Chordata, Mammalia, Rodentia, Cricetidae. The transcript has 2 exons.
AUUGGUUUUGAGGUGGGGAGCCCAUCCUCCAUUAGCUGCUAAAUUUCUUACUUCUUAGGCUAGUCCAGGUGACAAAUAGGUAGAAGAGUACCAAUGGUCAUCUGCUUGAAUUAUGUCAUAAUGGAGCCAGAAGCACAGACUUGGAGCUAAUAUGGAGCCUGAGCAGUGAUGGCCAGGAAGGGAGUCCAUGACACAGAGUUUUAAGGACCACCCUAAGCAUCAAGCCUUGCCUACUGCCUGACCAAUGAAACAGUGAAUUUAUAUCUGUGGUGUCAAUGUAUUGUCACACUGAAAAACUUAACUUUGCUCCAAGGCUUAGAAUUCUGUUUCAUCAAAGUACUCAUUAAAUUCCACAGGUUGUUUUUA